Argentina anserina (silverweed cinquefoil) is the source of this 1156-nucleotide long non-coding RNA. RefSeq lists it as uncharacterized. The record is from RefSeq and is a predicted model, not a curated record. The transcript is spliced from 3 exons. NCBI's taxonomy places the organism in Eukaryota, Viridiplantae, Streptophyta, Magnoliopsida, Rosales, Rosaceae.
UCUCCACUACCACCACCACUACCGAAUUCCCUAUCUAAAAUCGAGCCUAAAUCUAUAAGCAUCGGAGAAGCACAUCACCUCUGAAGCUCUCAACCUUCACCAGCCACAGCUCCUCCAAUUCUGGCAGUUCCUUGACAUUUCGCCGACGGUGCCCUGUCUCAAAGAUUAAUAGGAUUGGAAACCAGAAGAUUGGGUAUCCACCGAGGCUAAGAAUUCGCACCAGCAUCACCGACGGAGCUCUAAGCUUCAUGAUCUUUGAUUUCCAACUUCUGGCGACAUUCUGGCCUUCCCAUCACCAGAAUCAGGGUCGGUACCUCACGUAUAGAAGAACCCCUAAUCGUAUCUCUAGAUUUGACCAGCUCCACCGUCGUUGCCACCACACCUCCGCCGCUAGCUCCACCACCCAAGGUGGCUAGGUUUUACAGAACUUCGUAUCAGGUCGGAAAUAAGAAACAGUGCACUAGAGUGGGAGGCAGAGUCAUCGGAGAUGGCUGCAGGGGGAGGCACUGGCCAAACACUGGAGCUGUUAUAAGAGCCACAUGCAGAGAGAAAAAAAGAGGAUGAGAUAGUGGUGGUGGUGGAGCAAGGAAAUUUUCAAACUAUGGCUGAGAGUGGCAUUGCUGAUCAGAUGUGACUAAUAGAGCUGACACUAGAUGUAAGACUUUGAUGUUAUAUAAGGUAGUUCGCAAUAUCAUACUUGUUUUUAUUGAAACAAGGAAUUUCUUGUUGUUAAGAAUAAUUAACUCAUGUGGAAAUCAUGUGAUUUUUGAGGUUAGUAUUUUAUAAGGGUUUAGAUGCACCUGUAACUUCACUUAUUUGUGUUUUACUUUUUAUAAGCAUCACAUGAUUUUUUUUGUUUAGUGAUGGUUUUUGUUUUAAUGCAACAUAUGUUGAUAUGCUUGAGAAUGUGGGGUAUUUGGGGAGCAGAACCAGCGUGAUGAUGCAUAUUUUGCAUAAUAUCAGAACUGUAGUAGAUCGGUAACGAUAUGCAUGUCUAUUUUGCUGUGUUGCUUACGAGGUUGCCUACAUUGUAGGGUUAGUUAUCUUUCAUUUUAUUGAUUAGCUUGCAGUUUGUCUGCAUAUGUUUGAACCAUUUGCAGAAAUGUAACGAUGUUGAUCAUUUUUUGGUUUAUGAAUGAGCAAUUUUUUUCUUCUU